Molecule: ribosomal RNA, 315 nt
Filed under: Triticum aestivum (bread wheat)
Lineage: Eukaryota; Viridiplantae; Streptophyta; Magnoliopsida; Poales; Poaceae
Description: partial small subunit ribosomal RNA
Source: RNAcentral
AUGCGGGGGGUGCAACCACUCCAGUAUCAGGGGCGUCCCAUGUGGCACUUCAACGGCGAAGACGAUGCCAACCGCUGCGGUCGAAAAGGUCCGGACUCCGCCACCGCUCUAGUGAAAAUAAUGUCCGAUUUAUACAAAGGAGAAGAAGAGGAGUUCAUCCGCAUUAAGCCACGGGAUGGAUUUUCCAUGUACAACCACCCUAGUUGGGGAAUGCGGAAAGCUAUGAGGGAGAUCCAUAGCCCGUCUCCACAGCCAGAGGACCACAAUCGGGGCCUCGACCCUGGAGUCAAAGAAGAUCCGAACAUAUUUGUGGAG